UUAGCUGAAGCCAAAAUAGAGGCUUCUUAUUGUUAAUAAGGCUAAUGAUUAAAUUAAUCCAGCUAAA
Molecule: transfer RNA, 67 nt
Filed under: Antilochus russus
Lineage: Eukaryota; Metazoa; Arthropoda; Insecta; Hemiptera; Pyrrhocoridae
Description: tRNA-Asn
Source: RNAcentral